Long non-coding RNA from Lycium barbarum (goji berry), 2700 nucleotides. RefSeq lists it as uncharacterized. NCBI's taxonomy places the organism in Eukaryota, Viridiplantae, Streptophyta, Magnoliopsida, Solanales, Solanaceae. The record is from RefSeq and is a predicted model, not a curated record. The transcript is spliced from 3 exons.
UGGUGGUCACUGGUCGCCGGUUUUGAAUAGAAGCAACGAAGAGAGAGACGAGAUGAAAUGAAGAACUGCUCUUUUUUUUUUUUUUUGAAAUAAAAUGAAGUAGUUGGGGUCGUGGGGGAAGUGGGUUGGAAGGAGUUUUUGUAUAAUGUGUGUGGAUUGGAAGAAGUUUUUGUAUAAUGUGUAUGAACUUUUGUGUAUUUUGUAAAAGAUUAUAAGUUUUAAAAAUUAUAAUUCGGUCCCAAUUUAAGUUAAUUACAUUUUUAAGACAAGUUUGACCAUGACUGGUCAAACUUGUCACCAUUUCUAAUUAUAAGACUUUUUUGUCACCACAAGUUAAAUCUUCCUAGUUUCUCUUCCCAUAGGACAACAUUCUAUAUAAAUCUAUAAAGCUGGGAAUAGCACAGGCUGAGUUGGCACAUCUCUAAGGCCUGAAACCCUAUUUUUUUUUUUUUCAAUUUACCUUAAUUAUUCCCAUUUUAUUUUACUUAAUAUAUAAAAAAGCCUAAAGUCACACUAAUUAAAGCCAACACACACCGUUUCCAUUCCUGUAUUCCCUCAAAUGGAAAACCCAAUGUCCUCAUUAAGCCCGCGUUUCUAAAAGAAGGGAGAAGAAGAAACCAAUGGUUGUUGAGAACCCCCGCUUUCAAUGAUUUCCAUUCUCUCUCGGUCGAAGCCCCUGACAAGAAUUUUCUGUCCACUGUUAUACUCCACUGGUUGCGCCAACCGCCAGAACUACAGCAAAGUACUGCCAAAAUUUUAACACCUGUGAUUAAUUUAGAUUCAAUUAGUGGAUCUUCAAGUUGGCAGAAUGACUUUGAAAAGUGGUGAAUUUUCAGGGAUAAUUGCAGGUAUUAUUGGUAUUUUUGGAAUUUCGCUGCAAGUUUUAACUCUUGAAGGUUGGGUUUUACUUUCUCUGUCUGAUUGUUAUAUUAUUAGCUUCUAAAUUACGUGCAUAUGUUGCCGGGCAAGGUUCUGCAAAUAAUUUCCUCUUUUGUUUUUUGGUUAUUUUUCUCCUUCUUUUUGCUCUUUUUCUCUUUGCAUGUUCUCAGUUUAUAUUUUUGUAUUGUUGGAAAGCUCUUAUUUCUUUUUCUUGGCAGAAGGUUGAAAUAAAAAUGUACCGAAAUUUUAUUUGAACUUACAAUUGGAUCUGUACGAGGAACCAGUAUAUGAUUUAGGAGUUAGAGUUCAUACUCCCAAGAAAAAUAGGUAGUUUAUUACACAACUUAAGGCUUUUAGUUUCUCAAGAAGAGAAUGUGCAGUCUUGAAUAAAAUGUCCAUGAAAAGUUAAAAAAAAAGGUCUUCUGAUUUUUUCUUUGAUUAAUGAAGAUUUUUUGCAUACUAAUCUCAAUAAAUACAGUAUAGUAUGAGAAAAUAAAAGGAGUUGUUACAAUGAUCCACAUAAAUACAUAGAUGAAUGUGGUCCUCUGUAGUUUGUACUUUAGCCUCUAUAUGCACACUUAUGUGGCUCACUAAUAAAUUAUGAGUUCACUUUUUUUUUUUUUUUUUUUUAAUUUCAAGUUUAGGUAUUUCUUUAGAUUUGGUAGUAUGAUGUGAUGCUCCUUUCGCAAAAUAUCCUCCAAUGAAGGUACAUCAAUUAGGAUAGCUACAGCUACAUUUUGUUUCUUGUGGACCCACUUUAAUCAUAUUUGCAUUACAUAGUUUAUACUUCUCAGCUGUUGCUAAUGAUAAUGCAAAAUGCAACCCCCUACCUUGAUUAUGAGAGAUUAUGAGAGGAACAAAGCAUUGUCUAAGGCACUUUUUGAAAUACUUGACUCUUGAUUGGUAAUGUUGUUGACGUUAGUGUUUCCAUUACUCUACCACCUUGCUUUAUCUUGAAAGAACACUUUAGUUCUGUUACUUGUGGAAGUCCUAACAUUUAACGGGGAGUUUAAUUAGUAUUUAGCUGUUAUUCGAUGGUUCAUCUAAUAGAAACAUUUUGCAUUUGGUUAUGUGUUGCUUUCUGAUGCUUUGGUGAAUACUUCGGCGAAACAAGGCAUAGGAUGACAACAAGGUUAUGAGAUGCAGUUAAACAGAGGUUAUUUUCUUACAUCUUCUUAAAUUUCUUUCCAUUGUGCUUAUGGGGUUGUAAUACAGCAUCAGGACAGUCCUCCAAAAGUAAAUUGCCAGAGCUACGGCUACCAAUGAAGUUUCAUGGCGCUGUGAAGAGCAAAAUUAAUAGCUAAUCAAGAGUUAAUUUUUCAGAACCCAUCCAAGUAGUAGAUCAAUUUCAUUUCCUUUCAUUCCUAUAGAAUGCCUCUAUUGAGUCCCGUAUCUGCUCACUAUUGUUUGAUCUGUAGACAAAUUUGACUGGUAUAUUUUGUUAUACCUACAAGUUUGGACUUUCAAGACAAAGAUCAAAGAUACAUUCUCUUUCUAAUUGAAGGGGAAAGGAGCACGAAGUUGGGCUUCAUUGGAAGAGUUUACCUUGAAAUGUGAUCCUACAUUUACUCUCCAGCAGUGGUCGCUGGCUAAGUAAGGUUUCAAAAAGCUAAUAGUUUCACCAAGAAAAGGCCAAACCCUGUUGUCUAGUGGAAGAUUUAGGGAACUUCUGUUUUAUUCCUAAUUGAUUAAGAAUAAGUGUAACCAAGAUUGGGAAAAUAAGAAAAGUAAAAAGACAGUCAGACAUGGAGACCGGCUGAUGGCUUCAUUGGCUCGAUGUAUCCUAUAUCUGUCUUUCGUCCUCUGUGACACUCGAUACAC